AUCAUGAGUUCACAUGUCCGCAUGAUUAAAGGUAUUUUCCGGUAGACGAUGGGGAUGCGUUCCAUUAGAUAGUAGGCGGGGUAACGGCCCACCUAGUCAACGAUGGAUAGGGGUUCUGAGAGGAAGGUCCCCCACAUUGGAACUGAGACACGGUCCAAACUCCUACGGGAGACAGCAGUGAGGAAUAUUGGUCAAUGGGCGAUGGCCUGAACCAGCCAAGUAGCGUGAAGGAUGACUGCCCUAUGGGUUGUAAACUUCUUUUAUAAAGGAAUAAAGUCGGGUAUGCAUACCCGUUUGCAUGUACUUUAUGAAUAAGGAUCGGCUAACUCCGUGCCAGCAGCCGCGGUAAUACGGAGGAUCCGAGCGUUAUCCGGAUUUAUUGGGUUUAAAGGGAGCGUAGAUGGAUGUUUAAGUCAGUUGUGAAAGUUUGUGGCUCAACCGUAAAAUUGCAGUUGAUACUGGAUGUCUUGAGUGCAGUUGAGGCAGGCGGAAUUCGUGGUGUAGCGGUGAAAUGCUUAGAUAUCACGAAGAACUCCGAUUG
Molecule: ribosomal RNA, 541 nt
Filed under: uncultured bacterium
Lineage: Bacteria
Description: bacterial SSU rRNA
Rfam family: Bacterial small subunit ribosomal RNA
Source: RNAcentral